Molecule: unclassified non-coding RNA, 164 nt
Filed under: Trypethelium eluteriae
Lineage: Eukaryota; Fungi; Ascomycota; Dothideomycetes; Trypetheliales; Trypetheliaceae
Description: ITS2
Source: RNAcentral
UAUAAACUCUUCAAGUUCUAGCUUGGUAAUGAAUUUUUGUCCCUUGACAAAUUCUAAAAUAUUUUUGUCUGUUGUAAAAAGCCUUUUGCUUUGACGUAACCAAUGACUUUGCGCUCGGCAAAUCUUUUACAACAAGUUUUUAUCUUCUUCCACAGUUUAACCUC